AAACGAAGUCACAUUCCUGUUAGUCUCAGGAUCUGCCCUUACAGGAGGACCAAGCAGGUGGCUCAUGCUGUUAAGUUCUACAUCGGAGUGGAAGCAGAAUCCACAGGCCUGAGAAAUCCAAAAGAAAGACUAGCUACCACCGUCUGGAAACUUAAGUCUACUCAAGUCCAACAGGGCGCCCAGUCUUGCGCCCCCUCCCCUAAAUCAUCGGACCCGCGUUGCCUAGUAUGACGCCAUCCCUAGCUGAAAAGCAGCGUUUUCUUCCCUACUGAAGAGAUCAGCUUCAAAGUAUUUUUUUAAAAGUUGGUUUUAUCUUCCUUAA
Molecule: long non-coding RNA, 322 nt
Organism: Octodon degus (degu)
Lineage: Eukaryota; Metazoa; Chordata; Mammalia; Rodentia; Octodontidae
Exons: 2
Source: RefSeq, a predicted model, not a curated record